Molecule: non-coding RNA, 28 nt
Filed under: Mus musculus (house mouse)
Lineage: Eukaryota; Metazoa; Chordata; Mammalia; Rodentia; Muridae
Source: RNAcentral
UAGCACGAGACAGGUGAUGCAGCUGCAC